ACACCUACGGGUGGCUGCAGUCGAGGAUCUUCGGCAAUGGGCGCAAGCCUGACCGAGCGACGCCGCGUGAAGGAUGAAGGCCUUCGGGUUGUAAACUUCUGUCGGGGGGGAUCAAGGGCAACUUGAGUGAUCCCUGGAGGAAGCACGGGCUAAGUUCGUGCCAGCAGCCGCGGUAAGACGAACCGUGCGAACGUUGUUCGGAAUCACUGGGCAUAAAGGGCGCGUAGGCGGCUUAUCAAGUCAGGGGUGAAAUCCGGCAGCUCAACUGUCGAAGUGCCUUUGAUACUGAUGAGCUCGAGGGAGGUAGGGGUAUGCGGAACUUCCGGUGGAGCGGUGAAAUGCGUUGAUAUCGGAAGGAACGCCGGUGGCGAAAGCGGCGUACUGGACCUCUUCUGACGCCGAGGCGCGAAAGCUAGGGGAGCAAACGGGAUUAGAUACCCCGGUAGUCCUAGCCCUAAACGUUGGGUACUAGAUAGUGGACUUACAUGGGUUCACUGUCGAAGCAAAUGUGUUAAGUACCCCGCCUGGGGAGUAUGGUCGCAAGG
RNAcentral lists this ribosomal RNA (545 nucleotides) under uncultured Planctomycetota bacterium. RNAcentral describes it as "bacterial SSU rRNA". It matches the Rfam family "Bacterial small subunit ribosomal RNA", at positions 335 to 893 of the family's 1533-position model. Lineage: Bacteria; Pseudomonadati; Planctomycetota. The record is from RNAcentral.